Molecule: ribosomal RNA, 607 nt
Filed under: Pestalotiopsis vismiae
Lineage: Eukaryota; Fungi; Ascomycota; Sordariomycetes; Amphisphaeriales; Sporocadaceae
Description: eukaryotic LSU rRNA
Rfam family: Eukaryotic large subunit ribosomal RNA
Source: RNAcentral
GCAUAUCAAUAAGCGGAGGAAAAGAAACCAACAGGGAUUGCCUUAGUAACGGCGAGUGAAGCGGCAACAGCUCAAAUUUGAAAUCUGGCCCUCGGGUCCGAAUUGUAAUUUGUAGAGGAUGAUUUUGGUGCGGUAUCUUCCGAGUUCCUUGGAACAGGACGCCUUAGAGGGUGAGAGCCCCGUACGGUUGAAUGCCUAGCCUCUGUAAAUCUCCUUCGACGAGUCGAGUAGUUUGGGAAUGCUGCUCUAAAUGGGAGGUAAAUUUCUUCUAAAGCUAAAUAUUGGCCAGAGACCGAUAGCGCACAAGUAGAGUGAUCGAAAGAUGAAAAGCACUUUGAAAAGAGGGUUAAAUAGCACGUGAAAUUGUUGAAAGGGAAGGAUUUGUGACCAGACUUUUUCUGGGCGGAUCAUCCGGGGUUCUCUCCGGUGCACUUUGCCCAGUAAAGGCCAGCAUCGAUUUUCGGCGGCGGAUAAAAGCAGUGGGAAUGUGGCUCCCUACGGGGAGUGUUAUAGCCCAUUGUAUAAUACGCUGCUGGGGAUCGAGGUACGCGCUUCUGCAAGGAUGCUGGCGUAAUGGUUAUCAAUCACCCGUCUUGAAACACCGACC